GACGAACGCUGGCGGCGUGCUUAACACAUGCAAGUCGAACGGAAAGGCCCUGCUUUUGUGGGGUGCUCGAGUGGCGAACGGGUGAGUAACACGUGAGUAACCUGCCCUUGACUUUGGGAUAACUUCAGGAAACUGGGACUAAUACCGGAUAGGAGCUCCUGCUGCAUGGUGGGGGUUGGAAAGUUUCGGCGGUUGGGGAUGGACUCGCGGCUUAUCAGCUUGUUGGUGGGGUAGUGGCUUACCAAGGCUUUGACGGGUAGCCGGCCUGAGAGGGUGACCGGCCACAUUGGGACUGGGAUACGGCCCAGACUCCUACGGGAGGCAGCAGUGGGGAAUAUUGCACAAUGGGCGGAAGCCUGAUGCAGCAACGCCGCGUGCGGGAUGACGGCCUUCGGGUUGUAAACCGCUUUCGCCUGUGACGAAGCGUGAGUGACGGUAAUGGGUAAAGAAGCACCGGCUAACUACGUG
Molecule: ribosomal RNA, 468 nt
Filed under: uncultured bacterium
Lineage: Bacteria
Description: partial 16S ribosomal RNA
Rfam family: Bacterial small subunit ribosomal RNA
Source: RNAcentral